UAAAACCAUCAUAUGUAUAGCGUUAAUGUGUCAGAUCCAAUUAGAACUUCAUAUUUAAGCGCGCUUGGGCUAGAGUAGUACUGGGAUGGGUGACCUCCUCGGAAGUCCUAGUGUUUUAC
Picea glauca (white spruce) is the source of this 119-nucleotide non-coding RNA. The record is from Rfam. Lineage: Eukaryota; Viridiplantae; Streptophyta; Pinopsida; Pinales; Pinaceae.